ACUCCUACGGGAGGCAGCAGUGGGGAAUAUUGCACAAUGGGCGCAAGCCUGAUGCAGCCAUGCCGCGUGUAUGAAGAAGGCCUUCGGGUUGAUAAAUGUACUUUCAGCAGUGAGGAAGGCGGGUACGUUAAUAGCGUGCUCCGUUUGACGUUAGCUGCAGAAGAAGCACCGGCUAACUCCGUGCCAGCAGCCGCGGUAAUACGGAGGGUGCGAGCGUUAAUCGGAAUUACUGGGCGUAAAGCGCAUGCAGGUGGUUUGUUAAGUCAGAUGUGAAAGCCCGGGGCUUAACCUCGGAAUAGAAUUUGAACUGGCAGACUAGAGUACUGUAGA
RNAcentral lists this ribosomal RNA (330 nucleotides) under uncultured bacterium. RNAcentral's name for it is "bacterial SSU rRNA". It matches the Rfam family "Bacterial small subunit ribosomal RNA", at positions 335 to 655 of the family's 1533-position model. The record is from RNAcentral.